AUUUUAAUACAUGCUAACUUAUGUGAUUUUUAAUUUUGAACCGCUUUUAUUAUUAUUAUUAUUAUUUAAAGAGAAUUGCAACAUCGUGAAAACGCGUCUUGAACCAUGUCACAUCAAUGCACCCGUAGUUGUUGACACAUUUCGACUUCGUUGAGAUUUGGAUUUGGGUCACAUAAAUGCGCACCUGAUUUUAGGAAGAUAAAUUAUUAAUAAGCGCGCCUAAAGUGACUAGCGCGUUAUUAUCUUUGAGGAAGGCCGUGAAAUUCGCUAAACGGUCUAUCCCAAAUUCUAAGUAUUUUUUAUAUAUAUUUAUCGAGGACCCCACAAUUUGUGUGUUUCAUUUGGCGAGGCUUAUCUCAUUUUAUUAAAGGUCAAUCCUAACGCAGUCUAUUAUAUUAUUAGUCUCUAAUAAUAGUCUCACUUAAUUAACUUGUCAACAUAUCAAUGCUAGGAUAUUCAAACUAGUUCUGAAUUUAAAUUAAAAGCACUCUGCCUAAUGCUUUGGGCCCUGAAAUUGGCCCUGAACGAUUUUAGUUGAUGUCCAGGAGAAGAAAGGCAACCCCAAACGUGGGCCUGAUGCAGAUAGCAAAUGACCCAAGCAGUUGUACCUAUUCUCUGCCAAUAGUGGCCAUUCUAAUUCCAAAUUUUAGAUUUCAAUUGUAUUUAAACUGAACAUCACUCUAUAAUUUAAAAGCUCUUAAUGAAGUUGAACCUCUAGAUUAUUUUUCACGAUGACAGGAAUCACUCAUUUGAUGUUAAUGCAGCCGUGCAAUUGUAAACACUAUUCCUAACUAACAAUUAGUUUAUUUAAAAAAAAACAUUAGAAUAGCAAAAUGAACUUGAUUUAAAUUAUGACUAUGCAAUAGUCCCUACAAUCUAAGUUAGACAGAAUAUUAAACAAAUGAACAUUGUGGCUAAAACUAUUGAAAUAGUGCAACAUAAUACUCUGAUUCUCAAAUUUUAAGAUAACAUUUGAUAAUCGUGAUUUUCAGACUCAAGUUAAUGCCAGAAAUCUCACACACACACAAUCCUAAUAACUCAAAUGUACAAGCACAAACGCCUAGUAAUUCAUUUGUCCAAAUCAAACUUAAGCAGUUCUAAUUAUACAGGCCCUAUAUCCAUUGUUCAUGUAGCACAAAACUAAAACUAAACGAAUAAAUCCAACAUUCUAUUUAACUACGAACAACAGAAGGUAAUCCACUUACGUAAAUUUGAUGAACAUUUAUUCCAACUCCAGCUCAAGAUUACAAGGAUGUGAGUUCAAAGUCGUGUACCUGGAAGUGGAAAACAAUGAAGAAGAACAAGAGAAGAUCAGCAGCGAGUAACAAACAGCUACUACCCAGUAGUCAUAAACAGCAACCGAAACAACAGUUGAUCUCAGCCAAAAAAUAACUCAAUUAUCCAAAAACUGAAUAUCAGUUUCUAGACAAUACCAAAAGUCCAGAAAUGAACACAAAAGGUCAAUACUUGACAGAUGAAUCACAGUUGGCUCAAGUUAGCCAAAUCCAUUACUUAGAAGACUCGAACUGCUUUAAAAUACCAAUUAUCGAACAGAACAGGGAGAUUCAAACAGCUUUUAUCCUAAAUGAGCUAGAAACUACGUGUAAUGAUGGAAAUCCAAUGUAAUAGUUCUUUUUUUAUUUUCUGCUAUAUUUUCUUUUGUUUUUGAUUUUUUCUUUUGAAAAUGCUAAGAUCUGAGGAGAUUUUGAUAUGAAAUUUUUAAUUUCAUAUCUAUUUAGCUUGAAGAUAUAUUGGGGGAAUUUGAGGG
RNAcentral lists this long non-coding RNA (1768 nucleotides) under Nicotiana benthamiana. Its description in RNAcentral is "long non-coding RNA (NBEN_LNC038043)". Lineage: Eukaryota; Viridiplantae; Streptophyta; Magnoliopsida; Solanales; Solanaceae. The record is from RNAcentral.